GCUGAACUUAAGCAUAUCAAUAAGCGGAGGAAAAGAAACCAACCGGGAUUGCCUUAGUAACGGCGAGUGAAGCGGCAAAAGCUCAAAUUUGAAAUCUGGUACCUUCGGUGCCCGAGUUGUAAUUUGUAGAAGGUAACUUUGGGGCUGGUCCUUGUCUAUGUUCCUUGGAACAGGACGUCAUAGAGGGUGAGAAUCCCGUGUGGCGAGGAUCCCAGUUCUUUGUAAAGUGCUUUCGAAGAGUCGAGUUGUUUGGGAAUGCAGCUCUAAGUGGGUGGUAAAUUCCAUCUAAAGCUAAAUAUUGGCGAGAGACCGAUAGCGAACAAGUACAGUGAUGGAAAGAUGAAAAGAACUUUGAAAAGAGAGUGAAAAAGUACGUGAAAUUGUUGAAAGGGAAGGGCAUUUGAUCAGACAUGGUGUUUUGCGCCCUCUGCUCCUUGUGGGUGGGGGAAUCUCGCAGCUCACUGGGCCAGCAUCAGUUUUGGCGGCAGGAUAAAUCUGCAGGAAUGUAGCUUGCCUCGGUAAGUGUUAUAUCCUGUAGAAAUACUGCCAGCUGGGACUGAGGACUGCGACUUUACGUCAAGGAUGCUGGCAUAAUGGUU
RNAcentral lists this ribosomal RNA (599 nucleotides) under Torulaspora delbrueckii. RNAcentral describes it as "eukaryotic LSU rRNA". It matches the Rfam family "Eukaryotic large subunit ribosomal RNA", at positions 27 to 639 of the family's 3401-position model. Lineage: Eukaryota; Fungi; Ascomycota; Saccharomycetes; Saccharomycetales; Saccharomycetaceae. The record is from RNAcentral.